GGAUGUGAGCACAUCUGGCUGCGACACCUGUCAUCCCAGUGAUCACCAGGCUUGCUGCAUCUGCUCUGGCUGGCCCAGGGGUGUCCCCAUCCCCUUUCACCACUCCAUGUGUGUCCCUCCCAAAGCUGAGCACUGCAGGAGAGAACGGCCUUGCGCAGUUGGAGGAUGACUGUUUCUUAAGCCAAACAUAUUGGAGCAGGCGUGCCUCCUGCUAUGACCUCCAAAAGCUCAGGUUAGCUGCUGUUGUUGGUAGGGGUAGAAAGGGGGAAUCGCUGUUUACUGCACCUAGAGUUCAACCUAGGAAAUGAAAAAAGUGUUAAAGAUGUGCUGUACUGCACUGUGUUU
RNAcentral lists this small nuclear RNA (345 nucleotides) under Octodon degus (degu). RNAcentral describes it as "7SK RNA (ENSODEG00000024299.1)". It matches the Rfam family "7SK RNA". Rfam says of the family: 7SK was discovered as an abundant small nuclear RNA in the mid-70s but a possible function has only recently been suggested. The record is from RNAcentral. Lineage: Eukaryota; Metazoa; Chordata; Mammalia; Rodentia; Octodontidae.